AUACGGAGGGGACAAGCGUUAUUCGGAAUCACUGGGCGUAAAGGACGCGUAGGCGGGUUUGUAAGUCAGGUGUGAAAUCCUACAGCUCAACUGUAGAACUGCACUUGAAACUACAGACCUAGAGUAUGGAAGGGGCAGAUGGAAUUAGUGGUGUAGGGGUAAAAUCCGUAGAUAUCACUAGGAAUACCGAAAGCGAAGGCGAUCUGCUGGGACAUUACUGACGCUGAGGCGUGAAAGCGUGGGGAGCAAACAGGAUUAGAAACCCCGGUAGUCC
This 274-nucleotide ribosomal RNA is filed under the name uncultured bacterium. Its description in RNAcentral is "partial 16S ribosomal RNA". It matches the Rfam family "Bacterial small subunit ribosomal RNA", at positions 523 to 796 of the family's 1533-position model. The record is from RNAcentral.